This is a long non-coding RNA of Aphis gossypii (cotton aphid), 429 nucleotides long. RefSeq lists it as uncharacterized. The record is from RefSeq and is a predicted model, not a curated record. The transcript is spliced from 3 exons. NCBI's taxonomy places the organism in Eukaryota, Metazoa, Arthropoda, Insecta, Hemiptera, Aphididae.
GUAUGUUUUAUAAUAAUCUAUUAAGCCAAGGUGAAAAUAUUUCUGUUAAAAAAACUAGAAACGAUGUAAAACAUAUAUCGGAUGAUUGUGUUAAUCAACAACAGACCAAUGAUAAACCAAAUGAUAUCGAUCCAUGGGGUGGCGAAGAUUCAGAUAAUAUAUGUCUUGAAGCCCUUGAUAAAUAUAUUUGGGGUGAAGAAUACACAGAUGAUGAGAAAAUGUUGUUAAGAGCUUGUAUUGAAUCUAAUACCUAACACGUAUUACAUAUAUAUAUAUGAAAAAUAUAACUCUUGAUUAUUCUAUAACUUUAUUUUAUUUUUAUUUUUUUUUAAUCACAAAUCUUCGUCGUCGUCUGUUGAAAUAACGGGCGAAAACGUUUCAGACAUUUCGUCGUCACUCAAAUCUUCGUCAGUUGGCAUUUCUUCAUCA